UCACUGCCCCCAAUAAAGAUGGUGACGGUCACACGGGCCGAUCGCCAUCUGAGGCGUUGAUUUGUUUUCUGCAAACGUGAGUCUGGGAGUUUCAAAUGGGUGUGUUUUCCGACGUGCACUAACUGUUUGUAAAACUUCCAAACCCAUACGAAUAUCACUUCCCUCCAGCUUUCUACCGUUUUGCUUUCUUUACUGUGGCCUGCUCUUACCUCAAUUGCACAAAUCUUGGUCUCAGCGAAGGAUCUAGGCCCGAAACGUCAGCUUUCCUGCUCCUCUGAUGCUGCUUGACCUGCUGUGCACAUCCAGCUGCACACCGUGUUAUCUCGGAUUCUCCAGCAUCUGCAGUUCCGGUUAUCUCAGCGACUCUGCACCGCACUCGUGGAUGAUCACGUGGUUUUCACUGAUCCCGCCCUCCCUUCAUUCCGAUUGGGCGAUAUCCGUCCGGUCAUGCACGGCACACCUGUGCUCCUAUUGGUCGCGCACUGACAUCAAUCAGCCAGACUUCACCGUGAGCUGGAGCAUGCGCAGUGCUUUGUGUUAUUGUUGGAAGCAAAUGAACGUCGUCGCAAUGUUGCAUUUUGAGACGAAUGAGACUGAAAACCGGAUCUGUCUUUUUACCUUCACAGAUGCUGCCAGACCUGCUGAGCUUUUCCAGCAACUUUGUUUUUGUUCCUGAUUGACAACAUCCCAGUUCUUUUGUUAUUUUUUAAUAAGUCGCGAUUGAAAAGGCUUCCUGCAGCUCAAAGCUAAAGGUUUGACGAUACUUCACCUUUCUCAUUCCUCAGACUCCAACCCACUUUGAUUCUGAAAGAUUUGACUGUUAUUUCCGGUCAGUCAGCUUGCCGAAGCAGUCAGAUUUCCGUCAUACUACUCUGAAUAAAAAUGGCAUCAGGAGAUGAGCUUCCAUCACAUCUCACUGUCGAUACCUCCAACGUUCAAAUUCUUAACUCUGAGACCUCAAAAAGACUCGUCGAAAAUUUUGUAAUCGCUCUCAUGAACAAGGAGCGUUUCUACAUCCGCACAUUCUUUUCGACAUACAAAGCAUAUACCACUGCUGAAAGUGUGUUGUACAUCCUCCUGGACA
Stegostoma tigrinum is the source of this 1084-nucleotide long non-coding RNA. RefSeq lists it as uncharacterized. NCBI's taxonomy places the organism in Eukaryota, Metazoa, Chordata, Chondrichthyes, Orectolobiformes, Stegostomatidae. The record is from RefSeq and is a predicted model, not a curated record. The transcript is spliced from 4 exons.